Passer domesticus (house sparrow) is the source of this 6103-nucleotide RNA transcript. It is a transcript of the gene named transcription activation suppressor, with no coding region annotated. NCBI's taxonomy places the organism in Eukaryota, Metazoa, Chordata, Aves, Passeriformes, Passeridae. The record is from RefSeq and is a predicted model, not a curated record. The transcript has 26 exons.
GCCGUGAGGCGGGCGGAGGGCGAGGCGAGGCGGCGCGGGCGCUGCUGGCGCUGGGAAGGGGCGCUGUGCUGGGGAGAAGGCGCGGGCUGCCGGGCUCGCUUCUGCGGAGGGAAUGGCGGAUGCCGUGAUCCGCAGUGGCGGCGAGAUGGAACCGGAGCAGCAUCAGCGGAUGGAGAAGACAAGCGCGGGCGUCCUCGGAGUGGAGAGCAGCAGAGCUGGAGCCGCUGAGGACACCACACAAAAUGGCGGACGCUCUGAGAGCGGUAGCGCUGGGGAGGCGCUGCUGGUGGCUGGUGUUGCUGCAGAGGACAAGGUCCCCACAAACCUCAGCAUCAGUAGCAGCAGCCAGCGCAGGAGCAGCAUCUCGACGGCAAAUGAACAGCAGCAGCAGCAGCCGCCCAGCGGUGUGCUCGGGGGGCUGCCCCCUCUCCCUAAGCCCUCAGAAGACCAGCAGCCUGUUAGGAGGAAUUAUCAGAUCCCCAGGAAGAGCAGAGAAAAGAAAGCACUCUUUCAGCCAGUACCUCCAGGUUCUCGAGAAUUUGAGGGUAUUAUAAAGAUUCUGCAUUCUUCCUACUUGGAUUCAAAUUCAGUGUCCAAUUUUAAAUACAGAAAAGCCAGCUUAGUUCAUAGUGAACUGUUGGAAAAGGAAUUCACAGAGAAACGCAGGCAGCUGAAGUCUGAUGGGCACCUGGAGAAGGAGCUCUCGGAAAGUUACGCCUUCCUCAUGGUGGAUCGCUGCCAGAUCCAGAGCAUAUGUGAAAAGGGGCUGCAGGUUGGCCACUCCAAAAUCACAAUUCUCGGCAGACCUUCCAUGGGUGUAUAUAUCUCCAAGUAUGCUGAUUUAUUGCAGCCUAAUCCUCUAGAAUUUGGAGCUACUGGAGAUGUGAUUGUUUUUAAAAUAAUAAAGGGAAAAAUGAAAAGCAUAUAUGACCACAUAGGUAUGAAAGCAAUGGAAUCAACUGUCAAGAGCGUGUUGGAUCCCACCCCAAAGCACGAGUGUCAUGUUUCAAAGAAUGCAAGUAAAGUCACCUCCUUGCUGGCUUACCGAGCCUAUGAGCUCACUCAGUACUACUUUUAUGAAUACGACUUUGAUGAGGUCAGGCAAAGACCAAGACAUGUUUGUCCUUAUGCUGUUGUUUCAUUUACUUAUAAAGAUGACAUGGUACAAGGACCAAAAUUUGGGCCCCCUUCAAGAGCAAACACUUACCACGCUGAUAGAAAUACAGAGACACCUAACGUUACAUUGUGGAGGGGACAGCUGUGGAAUAAAGGCAAACUUGUGUGCCACGUUUCCCUAAAAUCAACAGCACGACUUUUCCUUCCAUGCAGGCUUCCUGAGAAACUUGAGGUUGAAAAAGUUGUAAGCAUUGAUCAGUUGAAGAAAAAGAUUUCACCAGCAUUGUUCUUGAAAGAAACUUACCAAGAAAGAAAAGAAGUGUGGAAGAAUGGCGUGUACUGCAGCCUGUAUGAAGUUGUGGAGAAGUCCCGUUCUGGGAGUCACUUAGAGGGUUUACUUCAAAAACUGGAGAAGGAGAAACUUGUCCUUGUGAAACCACUUGUGGACAGAGGAUUUCUUUUUCUUCUUUCUCCUUGGCAGAUGAUGUCCCCUUACGACCACCAGACUGGACGGUCCCGUGUGCUUCAUGCAAUGUUUCUGUUUCCAGAGUCCAGAGGUGUCAUUAACUCAGCACAAAAAAGUGUUUCAUAUGGAACACAGAAAAAUUCAACUACCACGGUUUUGCAUGAGAAAAAGGAAAUGGUUGCAGAGUUCACAAAGUUGGUUCCAGCUCUGUAUUGUGCUUUGCUCCGGAGCCGUAGACACAGCAGUGUAGAUUACUAUUGUGGAAAAGCAGAUGCUGUUGUGGAAAGGUACAUACAUGAGUACUUCAAAAAACUCUACAAUGGCCCUGGAAGAGGGAGAGAAUUUACAUUUAAUGAGUACAGUACACGGCUGGAUGACAAAAGAUUUCUGCACCCUGCCCCAAAACACAAAGGUGACAUUGACACGUACUUGAAAAAAUACAUUUUCAGUCAGGAGGUCUAUCAGCUCCCCCUUUCCAGGGCUAAGGAACUGCUGGAUAGAAAUAGGAAGCCUCAUCGCUUCAGCCCCCUCUCAGAUUAUGAAGCUACAGAAGACUACUGUGACUUUGCCAAGGCAAAAUGCAGGAAAAGAAUCCAUCCCAAAUAUGAAGCCACUGUUGUCAAAAAAAAAGUGCCUCCUUUUGGAGACUAUGAUACUGAAAGACUCAAGGAUCUUAUUAACUUGAUCCAGUGUAGGAAGAAAAAUGUAGGUGGAGAUUCUGAUUCUGAAGACCCCAGAAUUAGAAGUGGUCUGAAAAGAAAGCUGGAAAAACAAUCUGAAAAUUCUCAGAAAUACCUAAAAAUGAAUGACUCUUCAGAGAAUAUUUGUCAGUGCGAAGGGGGCAGAACCUUGGAUUCACCACACUAUGUGUUCUCAAGCAAUUCUGACCACGGUGGCCACGAGGGUGACUUGGGGCAGGCGGAUGUGUCCGACGCUGGCGCCGAGCAGGAGGGGCUGGUCAGAGCGCUGCUGGACACGCUGGCCCCUGCCAGCCCCUGGGACCCAGCACUGGCACAGUCUGUCACUCAGGCCUUGGCCUCAGGCACCGAGGAGAUCGAAGAGUAUCUGAGACAAAACUAUGGGUAUGAAUCCAUUCCAGCUCAGGACAGGCAGGAUCCGGAGCUUCCCGACGCUGCUCAGGCUGACAGCGUUACCUUCAAGGAGCUGCAGAGCCCGGCCGUGCUGGAAGCUGACAUGCCGGGCUUGCCCUACCCCGUGGAUGUCAGUCUGCAGCUCCCACCCAACGAAGCACCCCUUGAGCACACACUACAUUUACAAGAAGCAAGCUCUGGGAGUGCCUUUGAAGACUGCAGUCCCUGUCCUAGUGCACCUAUAGAACAUGGCUAUCUCAGGCAACAUCCCUGCUCAAAUAAUGUAGGGGAAGUUGGAAUGCACUGGAAACUUAUCCCAAUUACAGGUCUGAAAUCACCAGAAGAGCCACUGGAAUAUUUGCCACCAACGGAUGCACUUCCUAAUGACCCCCGGGUAGUAAAUAGACAGAGAAAUUCUGAUUAUCAAUUGCCAUGCUCUCCAUUUUCAGACACACAGAAGGGGACAGCAGAAGAUGGAUAUUACACAGGACAAGUGGAGAAACUUGAAGAUCAGUAUGAGCUAACAGAUCAACCUCUUACAGCUAAGCAUUCCAUUAGUGCAGUAAUAGAGACAACACUGUUAGAAGAAUAUAAGCUCUUUGCAAGAAAGAUUGAAGAAAUGUUGCAGCAAAAAAACAUUCCUUAUGUCAGUGACAUGUCCACACCAGUCCUUUCUGCCCAGGAGAGGAUCAUGAGACUUUCUGAACACAUCUGUUUGCAGGCAUCAGAGAUUUCUGUCCAAGAAUACAUAGAGAGCCUGAUUGAGAAGUUGAACAAUGUCAUUUUGGCUUCUUCAUGCGUGAAGCAGACUCCCCCAGUUUAUUCUAGUCCUGAAGCACUGGAGAUGGUGAGCAGCACUGCCCCCGGGGGGCCCAACACGCUGGCUGUGUGCCCAGAGCCACUGUGCAGUGACCUGGGGCAAGAGCUGCAUUCUCAUGAGCAGCCCUCAGCAAGCCUGCCCCCAGGGAAGGAGAAAAUGAGUCAUGGGAAUGCUAAACCAGAGGAUCAGACUUCUUCUGGUGGUGAUCUCAUGGAACCACCAGAAAAGAUGCAGAAGUCCCCUAAGAACUUAAACAUUUCAACUCAACCAUAUUUUUCUAAUCUUAUGAGCAAGUUAAAACCUGAAGUACUUACCCAGCUGGUCAAAAUAAUAGAAGAUGUACAGAAAAACACUCUCAAAUUUUAUAUUCAUGAAGAGGAAGAAAGUGUUCUCUGCAGAGAAAUCAAGGAAUAUCUUAAAAGGUUAGGGAACACCGAGUGCCAUCCAGAGGAGUUCCUUAAAAGAAGAGAUAAUUCAGAUAAACUGUUGAUCAUUAUCCAGAAUGAAGACAUUGCCAAUCUCAUCCAUAAGAUCCCUGGCCUGGUGACUCUGAAGAGGUUCUCCUGUGUCAGCUUUGCAGGGGUUGAUAGUUUGGAUGAUGUGAAAAAUCACACUUACAAUGACCUGUUUGUGUCUGGAGGCUUUGUUGUGUCAGAUGAAUCUGUCCUUAACCCAGAGUCCAUCACUACAGAUAAACUAAAACAGUUCCUAACAUUUCUGGAGGAUCUCAAUACCCCAGAUGGGAAAUGGCAAUGGAAAGUCCACUGCAAAAUACAAAAAAAACUGAAAGAGCUGGGGAGGAUGAAUGCCAAUGCCCUGGACCUGCUCACCCUGCUGAACACCUAUGAGAAGAAGUACUUGGUUGAGAUUCUGUCUUACCAUAACUGUGACUCUCAGACUCGAAAUGCUCCAGAACUUGACUGUCUCAUCAGGCUUCAGGCUCAAAACAUAAAACAGAGACAUGUUGUCUUCCUAACAGAAAAGAACCUCCAGACGCUCUCGAGCUACGUUGACAAUGGCAUAGUGGUUGCUGCUGUUGAUGACUUCAUGCGUAACUUUAAAAGUCUCGUUGGGUUUAACAACACUGUUACUGAGCAGAACCACCUUGCUUCCUGCAGUGCUGGCCAAAGACAAUCAGAUGCUGUUUUGACAUUGUCCCCUUUGGAGCUGGGAGUUGGGAUUUCCCAGCACUAAAUAUGAGCACGCUGUGCAGAAGCUUUUAGCACCAAGUAACUGGACACUCCUACAGAGGGUUGAGUGUGUGUGUUGAGUAAGUGAACACAAGUGGCAGAAGACCAAGACUUAAAGUGCUGGUGGACUGGCAGACCUGAAGUGUAACACUGCUUCCCCAGGCAGCAGCCCCAGGCAGCAGCUGUGGAGUUGCUGCAUUGCUCACUUUGCUGAGACUCCUGGCUUUUGGUGCUCAUCUUCAGGUCCUCCAAAGUCCUGGGUUUGGGGGACUUCUGGUUGUAAUUGGAUUUUAGUGCUUUUCUCUGGGAUGUGCUGUUUGGUACCAGAUAGGACCUGCAGAAGGAAACUCAGAGAGGAAAGGGUAAAACACAGAAGACUGGAGAUCCAAAUCAAGUUACCUUACAAUUUGGAGCUCCGUGGCUUGUGACCCUUAAUUGACACAGUAUUCCAGCCUAUGGGAUUUGUAACUGAUGCCAUCUGAUGUCAGCCAUCUGUGACUUCCUGUAACAUGUGGUUUAAUAAAAUGAAAGGAGCCCAAAUAAAAAUAAUAAACCCCACUUUACUCCUACUUGCACAGGAAGGAGACAGCACAAGCUCCCCAGCAAAUGUCAGGGGGUUACAGUUCCCUGACUCAGGGGGUUCAAGGUGCAGGAGACUUGGCAAGGAAAAUCUCAUUUCCCAACUGCUAUUAGCAGCUGAUCCCACUCCCUCCUGCCUUUGCUGUUGGAAGGAACAACUGGUGCUGUGACAUGUUUCGAGGAGCUGAGCAAUCACAGGGGAUGACUUUCCCCAUGUUGAACCAGUCUGUUUAAGCAUCUACAGGCAGAUGCCACACACUUCAUCCAGAAAAUGCAGAGAAAUCAGGAAUCCACAUUUCUGCAGGCUUUGGAGACUGUUUCUGGAAUCACCUUGUCUUAUGACAACAUGGAAUCUGCUACUGCUCCAAAGAGGAAACAAACAGUAAUAAUUCUACUGUGCCAGAAGGAAGAACAAAACAUCAGACCAAGUGUUUAACCUUCCACAGGGUUAAAGGAGAGAUAGAAAUGCAAAAUCUGUGUUUACCAAAGGUCAAAAUGUACCUUUGGUUUAACUUUUAUAUGAAAGCACUGUGUAAAGCUCAGCAACAGCUAUGCAGGAGAACUUGAUGGAGAACUUGAUGGAGAACUUGAAAGACUUUUAAAAUGCCUUUUCCAGACUAUAUCCUAAAUCUUUAAUUCAGACUGAAAGCACUUCACUUGGAUCAACUUCAUGGUACUGAAGCACCUUAAAAGCAUCAAGUUACCAAUAACAAGACAUGGACCACAUACUUCAAGGUAUUUUUUAAUUUUAAAUUUGCAUUUUAAAAUGGAUGUUCCUGCACUAUUUACAACUACAUUUCUGGUUUUGCCAGUUCUUAUAAUUUCUCUUCCUGAAAAGGCC